GUUGUAUGGUUAAGUGACUAAGCGUACACGGUGGAUGCCUUGGCAGUCAGAGGCGAUGAARGRCGUAAUAACUUGCGAUAAGCCCAGAUUAGGUAGUAAUAACCUUUUGAGUCUGGGAUUYCYGAAUGGGGAAACCCACUURCAUAAGYAAGUAUCCUGUUGUGAAUACAUAGCAACAGGAGGCAAACCGGGGGAACUGAAACAUCUAAGUACCCCGAGGAAGAGAAAUCAACCGAGAUUCCGAAAGUAGCGGCGAGCGAAAUUGGAUUAGCCCUUAAGCUUUUAAUGAGACAGACGAAGGCUCUGGAAAGUGCCGCAGUAAAGGGUGAUAGCCCCGUAGYCGACAYMUCAUAAUCAGUGAAAACGAGUAG
This 371-nucleotide ribosomal RNA is filed under the name Vibrio splendidus. RNAcentral describes it as "partial 23S ribosomal RNA". It matches the Rfam family "Bacterial large subunit ribosomal RNA", at positions 1 to 415 of the family's 2925-position model. The record is from RNAcentral. Lineage: Bacteria; Pseudomonadati; Pseudomonadota; Gammaproteobacteria; Vibrionales; Vibrionaceae.